ACAUACGACCACACCUACCAGGCAGCACGGGGUCUCGUCCGCUCCCCCAUAGUUAAGCUGGUGAGGGGCAGAUUAGUAGCUGGAUCGGUGACGGCCAGCGAACACCGGCUGUUGUAUGUC
This is a ribosomal RNA of Purpureocillium lilacinum, 120 nucleotides long. NCBI's taxonomy places the organism in Eukaryota, Fungi, Ascomycota, Sordariomycetes, Hypocreales, Ophiocordycipitaceae. The record is from Rfam.